AAACUCUACAAUGCACGAAAGUGUGAUAGGGGAAUUCUCAGUGCUCGCGCAUUGCGCGGGCUUUUGCCAAGGGCAAAAACCUUGGCGAAUAAGUGGUGGGCAAGACUGGUGCCAGCCGCCGCGGUAACACCAGCGCCACGAGUGGCGAUCGCGAUUAUUGGGCCUAAAGCGUCCGUAGCCGGCUUUGUAAAUCUUUUGUGAAAUCGUUGGGCUUAACUCAACGGUGUGCAGAGGACACUGCAAAGCUAGGGACCGGGAGGGGCUAGAGGUAUUCUGUGGGGAACGGUAAAAUGUUAUAAUCCACAGAGGACCGCCGAUGGCGAAGGCAUCUAGCCAGAACGGAUUUGACGGUGAGGGACGAAAGCCAGGGGAGCGAACCGG
RNAcentral lists this ribosomal RNA (381 nucleotides) under uncultured archaeon. Its description in RNAcentral is "bacterial SSU rRNA". It matches the Rfam family "Archaeal small subunit ribosomal RNA", at positions 345 to 727 of the family's 1478-position model. The record is from RNAcentral.